UACGGGGGGGGCAAGCGUUGUUCGGAAUUACUGGGCGUAAAGAGCGCGUAGGCGGCUAAUUAAGUUGAAAGUGAAAUCCCAAGGCUUAACCUUGGAACUGCUUUCAAAACUAGUUAGCUUGAGAUCGGUAGGGGACAGUAGAAUUCCUAGUGUAGAGGUGAAAUUCUUAGAUAUUAGGAGGAAUACCGGUGGCGAAAGCGACUGUCUGGACCGUUUCUGACGCUAAGGCGCGAAAGCGUGGGGAGCAAACAGG
Molecule: ribosomal RNA, 253 nt
Filed under: uncultured bacterium
Lineage: Bacteria
Description: partial 16S ribosomal RNA
Rfam family: Bacterial small subunit ribosomal RNA
Source: RNAcentral